AGUGAACGCUGGCGGUAGGCCUAACACAUGCAAGUCGAACGGCAGCACAGUAAGAGCUUGCUCUUACGGGUGGCGAGUGGCGGACGGGUGAGGAAUACAUCGGAAUCUACUUUUUCGUGGGGGAUAACGUAGGGAAACUUACGCUAAUACCGCAUACGACCUACGGGUGAAAGCAGGGGAUCUUCGGACCUUGCGCGAUUGAAUGAGCCGAUGUCGGAUUAGCUAGUUGGCGGGGUAAAGGCCCACCAAGGCGACGAUCCGUAGCUGGUCUGAGAGGAUGAUCAGCCACACUGGAACUGAGACACGGUCCAGACUCCUACGGGAGGCAGCAGUGGGGAAUAUUGGACAAUGGGCGCAAGCCUGAUCCAACCAUACCGCGUGGGUGAAGAAGGCCUCCGGGUUGUCAAGCCCUUUUGUUGGGAAAGAAAAGCAGCAGGUUAAUACCCCGCUGUUCUGACGGUACCCAAAGAAUAAGCACCGGCUAACUUCGUG
RNAcentral lists this ribosomal RNA (492 nucleotides) under uncultured bacterium. RNAcentral's name for it is "partial 16S ribosomal RNA". It matches the Rfam family "Bacterial small subunit ribosomal RNA", at positions 29 to 507 of the family's 1533-position model. The record is from RNAcentral.